RNAcentral lists this ribosomal RNA (664 nucleotides) under Emmanuelia patinifera. Its description in RNAcentral is "SSU rRNA". It matches the Rfam family "Bacterial small subunit ribosomal RNA", at positions 406 to 1128 of the family's 1533-position model. Lineage: Eukaryota; Fungi; Ascomycota; Lecanoromycetes; Peltigerales; Lobariaceae. The record is from RNAcentral.
UGUAGUUACUACUUUGUAGUUUAAAAUUCUAGAUAGAAUUAUGAUGAUGACAUUAUCUAUCUAUAAGUCUUGACCAAAUUACGUGCCAGCAGUCGCGGUAAUACGUAGAAGACAAGUGUUAUUCAUCUUUAUUGGGUUUAAAGGGUACCAAGACGGUUAAUAAAGCCCAAAAUACAUGAAAACAGGGGACACAUUAACUAGAGUUAUAUGAAAAGAAGCACUAAGGUACUGUUGAGUGUAGAGAUAAAAUUCCGUCAUACCAGAUGAAAGGCACAGAUUUAUGCGAAGGCAUCUUCUUAUGUAAUAACUGACGUUGUAGGACGAAGGCUUUUUAAGUGAACAGGAUUAGAGACCCUAGUAAUCUAAGCAGAAAAUGAUGAAUGUCAUAGGUUUAAUAUAUUAUUGGGUCUAUAAAUGAAAGUGUAAGCAUUCCACCUCAAGAGUAAUUUGGCAACAUUGGAACUGAAAUCAUUAGACCGUUUCUGAAACCAGUAGUGAAGUAUGUUGUUUAAUUAGAUGAUACACAAAAAACCUUACCACAAUUUGAAUAUAUAUCUUUAAAGAUAUUUACAAGCGUUGCACGGCUGUCUUCAGUUAAUGUCGUGAGAUUUUGGUUAGUUCCAUAAAAUUAACGUAAACCCUCGUUUUAUUUAUAAAUAAAAUU